AGGACGAACGCUGGCGGCGUGCUUAACACAUGCAAGUCGAGCGGAAAGGCCCUUCGGGGUACUCGAGCGGCGAACGGGUGAGUAACACGUGAGCAAUCUGCCCUUAGCUUCGGGAUAGCUCCGGGAAACCGGAAUUAAUACCGAAUAUGACUUCGGCCGACAUCGGCCUUGGUGGAAAGUUUUUCGGCUAGGGAUGAACUCGCGGCCUAUCAGCUUGUUGGUGGGGUAAUGGCCUACCAAGGCGACGACGGGUAGCCGGCCUGAGAGGGCGACCGGCCACACUGGGACUGAGACACGGCCCAGACUCCUACGGGAGGCAGCAGUGGGGAAUAUUGCGCAAUGGGCGAAAGCCUGACGCAGCGACGCCGCGUGGGGAUGAAGGCCUUCGGGUUGUAACCCCUUUCAGCAGGGACGAAGCGAAGUGACGGUACCUGCAGAGAAGCGCGGCUAACUACGUGCCAGCAGCCGC
This 469-nucleotide ribosomal RNA is filed under the name uncultured bacterium. RNAcentral's name for it is "SSU rRNA". It matches the Rfam family "Bacterial small subunit ribosomal RNA", at positions 26 to 518 of the family's 1533-position model. The record is from RNAcentral.